Molecule: ribosomal RNA, 433 nt
Filed under: uncultured bacterium
Lineage: Bacteria
Description: partial 16S ribosomal RNA
Rfam family: Bacterial small subunit ribosomal RNA
Source: RNAcentral
AACGAACGCUGGCGGCAUGCUUAACACAUGCAAGUCGAACGGGACCUCCCGGUUUAGUGGCGCACCGGUGCUUACCGCCUGGGAACUUGCCCUUAGGUUAGGUACACUUCCCCGUAGGGGGUCCUAAUACCGGUUAAUCUAAUAGGAGAUAGGAUCUCUCGCUUUUGGAUGGGGCCGCGUUGGAUUCGCCGGUUGGUAGGGUACAAGCCUAUCAAGGCGACGAUGCAUAGCUGGUCGGGGAAGAUGAUCAGGCGCACUGGCCCUGAGACACGGCCCAGACUCGUACGGAGGGCAGCAGUAUAGAAUAUUAUACGAGGGACGAUAGCGUAAUCCAGCAAUGCCGCGGAAGAGAGGAAGGCCGUAGGAUUGUAAAUCUCUUUGACCCGAGACGAUAAUGACAGUACCGGGAGAAUAAGCACCGGCUAACUCCGUG